RNAcentral lists this ribosomal RNA (494 nucleotides) under uncultured bacterium. Its description in RNAcentral is "partial 16S ribosomal RNA". It matches the Rfam family "Bacterial small subunit ribosomal RNA", at positions 28 to 507 of the family's 1533-position model. The record is from RNAcentral.
GACGAACGCUGGCGGCGUGCUUAACACAUGCAAGUCGAACGGUGAAGCGCCUUCCUUUUUGGUGGGUGUGGAUGAGUGGCGAACGGGUGAGUAACACGUGAGUAACCUGCCCCCUUCUUCUGGAUAACCGCAUGAAAGUGUGGCUAAUACGGGAUAUUCUGGGUCUGUCGCAUGAUGGGUCUGGGAAAGAUAUUGUUUCGGUGGGGGAUGGGCUCGCGGCCUAUCAGCUUGUUGGUGGGGUGAUGGCCUACCGAGGCGGUGACGGGUAGCCGGCCUGAGAGGGUGGACGGUCACACUGGGACUGAGACACGGCCCAGACUCCUACGAGAGGCAGCAGUGGGGAAUAUUGCACAAUGGGCGCAAGCCUGAUGCAGCGACGCCGCGUGAGGGAUGGAGGCCUUCGGGUUGUGAACCUCUUUCGCCAGUGAAGCAGGCCUGCCUCGUUUGUGGGUGGGUUGACGGUAGCUGGAUAAGAAGCGCCGGCUAACUACGUG